This 767-nucleotide long non-coding RNA is filed under the name Chinchilla lanigera (long-tailed chinchilla). RNAcentral describes it as "lncRNA (ENSCLAG00000029191.1)". Lineage: Eukaryota; Metazoa; Chordata; Mammalia; Rodentia; Chinchillidae. The record is from RNAcentral.
UUCUUGACAGAUUGAUUUAUUUAUUUCAGUAACUUGGCCUUCCUGAGAAAGGGAGGCUCAGCGCCAGGGCGGGCACAGGGACAACCUGGGGGGACGAGGGAGGGGCCUCCUCCUCCGAGGACAGCGGGGACUCCAGGCUGAAGGGCAGACCCCUGGGGCCUUCUCCCUGCCCUCCCAGUAGGUCAGGGGCCCCCAGGCUCUCAAGCAGGAACAUGCAGCCCCCACAGACAGUUGUCUCCUCAUUGUCAUCCUGGCCUCUGCCCCCUACAUGGGUCUGCUGGAACCCAUCUUAUGGCUCAUCACCAACAACCCGAGGCCACAGUGAGCCAGGCAUAGUAAAGAGCUGAUUUGAACCCAGACCUCUGCCUCCCUGCACCCACUCCCAUCUACCUAAAGAAAAGACUUUGACCAUGAAUCCCGAGGGGGUAGGGGCCGAGCCUCACUAACAGCUCGCCCCAGCCCUCUCCUGGUCCUGGGGCUUCUUUCCUGCUGCGCUGGCUGGGCCCAUCUGUGCCUCCAGCCCCAAGGCUUAGGAGCCCUACUCCCCUGCCUGUGUUCCCGUCACACUGCCCACGCCCCCAGGCAGGGACUCCAGAGGCUGACGGGGAGCCCCGCAGAACCUGCAACUGAGGAAGGGCCGGCCACAGGAGCUGCCCAGACUCAGGCCUUUCCUGCCCACCAACCCCCCGGCCGUCCAGGAAGUCACUGUGGUGGCCGCCAGCAAAGCUUCCCCUCCAGGUUUUCCCCGCCUUGCUGAUGCUGCACCC